RNAcentral lists this long non-coding RNA (1657 nucleotides) under Trifolium pratense (red clover). Its description in RNAcentral is "long non-coding RNA (TPRA_LNC004686)". Lineage: Eukaryota; Viridiplantae; Streptophyta; Magnoliopsida; Fabales; Fabaceae. The record is from RNAcentral.
GCUCGUAAUAGGAAGAUAAGGAAGGGGUAUUGGGUAAUUUGGCAUACGACUAUAAUUUUUGAAGAUGAGGAUAAGAACUUAUCGGCAGUUUUAGACGCGAUAAAGGUGACUUCGUGGAAGUGGGGCUUAAGCAGACUAAAUUUGCCUCCGUGUCUAUUCUACGAGUGGUCAUGGGAUCCGGGAGACUGUUUGACUCGUUAAUUUGGUGUUCACAGGUUGUUUUUGCUAAUCUGUCAGAGCAGCUACUGUUAGUUUGUCUGGCUUUUUCGGUGUUUACGGCAUUUUUUCUGUUUUCUAGUUAGAACAGUUCCUGUGAUUGGGUUAGGUAUGUGUGCCUUCAACCUUUGCGUUUUUUAGCUUUUGUUCUUCUAACUUAUUGUAGCCUUGUUACUCUUAUGGCAUUUCUUAUGCUUUAGAGUUUAUAAUAAUAUUUUGCUUUUCAAAAAAUAAAUAAAUAGUAGAAUGUUAUGAACUCUAGAGUAGUAUUUUUUGUCACAACUCUAGAGUAGUAUGUAACCUCUUUAUAUACUUUUUCAUUUGAAAUGUUGUGAUUGACUGUGUACUAUUUUGAUUCUUCUUUACAACACAUUCAUUAUGUUUUGGUUGAGUUAUUGGUUAAUCCACUAGCAUUAUGGUUUAACAACCGUAACAUGCUUUGGUGCUUGCAGAUAAUGUUAUGUCACAUAUAGUGAUAAUCAGAGGAAAGUAUUAUGAACCACUGAAUUGGUGAUUUGCUAAACUAAAGUGGAGCAACAUUUUAUGGCAGUAAAAAAUAAGUUGAAUGAUCUUCAAGCACCAAGAGAAAAUCACACGAGUUGUAAAAUCAAGUAUUCACGCGGACAAUGGCGUCUAGUAUACGAUUAGUAAUACUAAUUCAAAUAUUGUGUAAUUGCUUGAUGAAACAUUACCAACACCUUGUUUGGAUAGUCCCUCUUAUAAUUCCCGAUCUCAUUACUGUUGUAGCACUAAACAGUUUUUCUGCUUCUGGUAUUCAACUUCGAUCUCUUUCUCGCAAAAACCCGUUUGCACUCCAUCCUCCCAUGCUCUUGACUCCCCUUUACAUGCAUGCCUUCACCUCGAGAUCCUUCCACUGCAUUAUGGUUUCUUUGACAUUAACACAUAAUUGAAGACAUGAUGUCUUCCAAUAUGACAGUGUCUUUCCCAUAUGUAAGAGGGGUCCCCAAGUGUACAUAGGAAUUAGGCAAGGAACACAACAUUGUUAUUGCUUUAUCCUCGUCAUUAAUCUUCAGUAAAUCUUUGAUAACUAGAUUGAAAGUAUUGACAUGUUGCAUAUAUAUCGUCGAAACCCUUCUACAUCAUCUUCAGCUCGUAGGACCUUAGCCACAUAUACAAUUUGUUCGUUAGGGACUUCGACAUAUACCUGACUCUUCAAUUUCACUCAUAUACAUCUCCGAGAGAUGUCAAGUCCACGACGUGAUACAUCACCUCAUCGACCAAAUGUAGUCAUAUGGUUUCCUGCAGCCCUCUCCCUCAACUAUUCCCAAUCCAACUUAUUCAUGUUUUCCAGUUUCUAUUUCUCAUGCAGCAGAAACUGUCAAAAACCUACAGAUUGAACUAAUAGAUACAAAAAGUUGAGUGAGAUUCCCAUCCUUUUAGUCCAAAAUUACAAUAUUUGCAAGUUUGUGGAAUGUGAAUU